RNAcentral lists this ribosomal RNA (3093 nucleotides) under Triticum aestivum (bread wheat). Its description in RNAcentral is "partial small subunit ribosomal RNA". Lineage: Eukaryota; Viridiplantae; Streptophyta; Magnoliopsida; Poales; Poaceae. The record is from RNAcentral.
AUGAAGAAACAUGCUUUACCAUGUCCUCUAAUCAGUUCUGGAGAUAUUGCUAUGCUCCAAAAGGAAGCUCCUGUCCUGGGCUACAACUUACUGGCACAUCCAGUCGAUGAUAUAAUCAUACUGUUUGUGAUUUGUCUUCCUUCCUCAAAUAUGGAUCCUUGCAAAUACUUGGUCAUUAGAACCAUGACCAAGAAUUUCUGGUCAUGCGCGUUCGGUGUGAGGAUACAUUCUCGUCGACUACAAGAUAUCUUAGGUGACUUCGUCAAUGUCAAGAUGAUAUACCGGCUUAGUCUUUCGAAGGGACCUCCUAUGCGCCACAUUUUGCGGCAAAUAGCGAGCGCGCCGCACAAGACACGUGCGACUGGGCCGGCCCAGCAUUCCUACCGACUUGGGCCUGCAUGCGUUCCUACCGACUUGGGCCUGCAGGCUAGGCCGUUGGCCCAACUCCAGGGCGUUCCUACCGACUUGGGCCUGCAGGCUGGGCCGUUGGCCCAACUUCAGAGGAACGCAAGAAGGAAAAAAAACAAACAUGCCGGGAAGGAGGACAAUGGGGCUCAGGAGAUGUUGAUAACAGACAUGGACACGGCGACGAGGACGAGCGGAAAUAGGUCGAGGGGUGAGAUAGAAACGCACUCGCGGGCCUCCUCACGGGCGCGGCGUGCUGCCACGCCAUCUCCUGCUAGUAGUAGAAGAAUAAAAGUGGCUAAGUUACCGCGUCUACCUCUUUUGAUGGGCCUGCUUAUCUCUUGGGCCGCCAUCCGGUUUGAAAAUAUCCGGCGAUUUCAGGAGACGAAAAAGGAUGGAGAGGCAGGGAUCCUCAAACACUGGGCUUUGGUUGGCGCAAGGAGGAAAGGCAUUCAUGAGGAGCAGUUUCAGUCACCUCUAACUACUUUUUCUUUCAUAAAAGGGUAUUUGCAUGACAUCCAGCAGAAUGAGGCUCUCGCUCUAGCAAAGAUCCUACGCCAAGUUAGAAGCACAUUCCUUAUAUCACUCGAUAUUCAUCCGGUGCAAGAAAGAAGACUUGAAAGGAUACUGCACAUGCAGGGCACCCCGGACGUGUGCUUGAUAUACACACACAAACCGGUCAAUAUGAAGCGGGGUAAUAGUAAUAUAGUCAAAUUAUUGACUAGUAUACUGGUGCUGGUCGUCUGGGUUUUGUUGGCUGCUAGUGUUCGAUCUGAUACAUGUUUGAAUACCGUUGAAGAAGACUCCAAAUCAGGGGCACCCAAUUACCCCGGUGUAAUAUAUACUGUCGACACUAAUAGUCCUGAUGCCUAUAGGAAGAUGAUUGCUCGCCUGCGAGAGCUGCUGACAAGGCGCGGGGAGUACCGGCAAGGAGUGCCGAUACUUCCUGAGCAAACAAGCGUGCCUGAUUCUCAGCGGUACAUCUUGCUUGAAAUCAGUGUCGCGGGCACGCCAGCAGGUGUAACAUUUGCUAUCGAUGUUACCAAUGUUUACAUCGUCGGUUAUCUUGUUGGUGGUACGAGGUAUUUCUUUAUGGAAGCUCCAGCCAGGGCCGAGGAGCUGCUCUUCACAGUUGCCGCAACUCAAACUUCACCAACAAGGAGGUCAUCCAACUAUGCCAAGCUGGAACAAAAUGCAGGUGCACUGAGGAGGGCCAUCCCGCUGGGGCUGCCUAUUAUCCAGAUGGUUUCAGAGGCCGUGAGAUAUUGGGAAAUAGAGUUGAAUGUUCUCCAAGCUGCAAACAAUGCAAAUCCUUCGUUUCUACCAGACGCCCGAAUGAUUGAUCUUGAGAACAACUGGUCAGCCCUCUCUUUGCAGAUCCAGACUAGUGAUGCAUUCGCAUUUCAAAGGCCUAUUACCAUCGGCAAUGAAGUCGCUGACAAUGUUCAGUCAACAGUCAUAAGAGGCAUGUUUUUGAUGUUGUUCAGAUGCGCUAGGCCGCGUCGAGAUCUGCAGAUGCCGAUGGACGAAGUUAGACGAGAGCGGUUGAUCGGCCCAGGUACUGAAAUAUUGCGAAGAGAUCUUGGCCUAUCCAUUGAUCCUCCUCCUGUGCAGAAGGAUGAUGACACAUGCAAGCAUUUGGCCGACUCAAGGAGUCGAAUGAUGGGCCGAGAUGGGCUUUGUGUUGAGGUGCAAGGGUUUAACUAUAGUGAUAGAAAUCCAGUUAUUCUCUUCGCAUGCAGGAGCAGUGACUUUGCGAAGCAACUUUGGAACUUCAGAACAGAUGGCCGGAUCGUAUCAUUUGGGAAGUGCUUGGCAGCAUCCGGAGCUACUCGUCGAAGCACCGUGGUGAUACAUGAAUGUGAGACCAUCCAUGAGUCCGCGGUUCGGUGGGAGAUGAGCAACUCCGGGACUCUGUCCAACAGGGCCAGCGGAUUGGUCUUGCAUGCUGCUUCUGAGGGAUGUCGCAAUGACUACUCCAGGCAAAAGUGGAGACUCUACCCAGAUAGUACCAUCCGACCUAUAGAGUGGCUGAAUGGAUGCCUCGAGCUUAGUACUUUCGUCGAGCACCCGAGGUAUAAUUUUAUCCAACUUGGGCAUUGCAAUAACCAUCCCGAGUACCAUCGUUGGAUCUUUACUCAGGGAUCCAUCAUGAAUUUGUAUAGCUCGUUGGUGGUUGAUGAGGACAGGGACUAUCCAGGAGAAGGAUGGCUCAAGGCAGCGCCCUUCCAAGGGGGCUCUAAUUUAUCCCUUCCUUUCUCUCUCCUCCACAUCCUUCUAAGAGUCUCCUGUGGUGCCCCAGCUAGUCGACUCUUCUCCUUCGGUUAUGAUGCAAGGCUGAGUAUGACAUCACGACGUUUCCUUUAUGUUCUACCUAGCUGGGAGGGAUCUGCUUCUGACUCCAGAGUAUUGCGCGGUACAAUGACAAACGGUCAUCAAGAUUUCAUACCCUUAGGAGAACUUUUGGAUUGUGGAACAAAAAAUGGGCUGUCCAAAGGUUGCUGGUUGCGGCUUCACGCAUGCUUGAGGCAGGGCGUGGCGGCGGCGGCGGCUCCCGCGGAUGCUUUUUUACCUGUUCAUCUCGCGGGUCAGGCUGCACUCUCUCGCUUGAUCGAUAAUCGCCAUCACCUCCUCGUCCAUAGGCACCUCGACCGCGAGACUAUCACCAAGCCGAUAAACAGAUUUUAG